UGUACUAAAUUUCAGCCAAAUUUUCGUAAUUUACACUACCUACUUUUUCUUAUUAAUGAGGAGAACCUGUGGAGUUUUAACAAUUUUUUUUGAUUAUUGAGUAUUUUGCAAACAAGUUUCUUUCAGAACUAAGCGCAGUCGACAUUUUUUCAUAGGAUAUGCCCAAUUCAUUCUAAGAUAUCCAAUAAAAAUUUGGAAAAUUCCCAUCUCAAGUGGUUUAACGUAGUCAAAAAAAUAUAUUUUCAUAGGUACCUAUCCAAAAUUUGUAGUAGAGCAAUAUUAAGUAAUUGAUACUGUAUUCUUCUGGGUAAUUAAAAUUGAUAGCGAGGUGUGUACAUAAACCUCAAGCGAACUAGUAAUUUUGAGAUACCUAUUUGAGUAUUCAUUCUAUCACAGUGUAUAGCAUCAGAUAAAAAGUCAACAUAAUGGAGAAGCUUGCAAUUUUUGUGCUCGGCUUAUUGAUUGUCUGCGUUACAGUAGUUCCAGAAAUGGAAUCUCGGCGAAUGGAAUCUGGAAUGGAAUCUGGAAUGUGUUGUAGUAUGAAUGGAAAAGAAUUCUCCGAUAAAAACACUUGCAUGAUGAUGUGUAAAGAAGGAUGUCAAUCCAAAAGAUGCGGCGGAAUGAGAGGCUGUAUGAUGAAAACGGGCUCGCCCAAGUUAACAUAUGGUUGUUUUUGCCAAAUGGAAUGAUCAGUAUACUCGACAGGUAUACCUACCUAUGUGCACAAGGUCACAUUUUCAAGUAUUGUGAGCAGUUGAUCUAGGCUUUUUGUCCGAUUAUACUUGUUAUAUCACAAUAAAUCCAUUCUUAACUCAA
Molecule: long non-coding RNA, 816 nt
Organism: Planococcus citri (citrus mealybug)
Lineage: Eukaryota; Metazoa; Arthropoda; Insecta; Hemiptera; Pseudococcidae
Exons: 3
Source: RefSeq, a predicted model, not a curated record